ACCCGAAGGCGCUGUGCUAACCGCAAGGAGGCAGGCGACCACGGUAGGGUCAGCGACUGGGGUGAAGUCGUAACAAGGUAGCCGUAGGGGAACCUGCGGCUGGAUCACCUCCUUUCUAAGG
RNAcentral lists this ribosomal RNA (121 nucleotides) under Brucella abortus. Its description in RNAcentral is "partial 16S ribosomal RNA". It matches the Rfam family "Bacterial small subunit ribosomal RNA", at positions 1419 to 1533 of the family's 1533-position model. RNAcentral also lists the same sequence under 2 other names. Lineage: Bacteria; Pseudomonadati; Pseudomonadota; Alphaproteobacteria; Hyphomicrobiales; Brucellaceae. The record is from RNAcentral.